This 460-nucleotide ribosomal RNA is filed under the name uncultured bacterium. RNAcentral's name for it is "partial 16S ribosomal RNA". It matches the Rfam family "Bacterial small subunit ribosomal RNA", at positions 338 to 795 of the family's 1533-position model. The record is from RNAcentral.
CCUACGGGAGGCAGCAGUGAGGAAUAUUGGUCAAUGGACGAGAGCCUGAACCAGCCAAGUAGCGUGAAGGAUGACGGCCCUACGGGUGGUAAACUUCUUUUACAAGGGAAUAACACGAGGCACGUGUGCCUUUCUGCAUGUACCUUACGAAUAAGGACCGGCUAACUCCGUGCCAGCAGCCGCGGUUAUACGGAGGAUCCGAGCGUUAUCCGGAUUCAUUGGGUUUAAAGGGAGCGUAGGCGGGUCGUUAAGUCAGUUGGGAAAGUUCAGGGCUCAACCGUACAACUGCAGUUGAAACUGGAAGUCUUGAGUACAGAAGAGGCAGGCGGAAUUCGUGGUGUAGCGGUGAAAUGCAUAGAUAUCACGAGGAACCCCGAUUGCGAAGGCAGCUUGCUGGGCUGUGACUGACGUUGAGGCUCGAAGGUGUGGGUAUCAAACAGGAUUAGAUACCCGUGUAGUC